CCUACGGGUGGCAGCAGUGGGGAAUAUUGGGCAAUGGACGCAAGUCUGACCCAGCAACGCCGCGUGAAGGAAGAAGGCUUUCGGGUUGUAAACUUCUUUUCUCAGGGACGAAGACAGUGACGGUACCUUAGGAGUAAGCCACGGCUAACUACGUGCCAGCAGCCGCGGUAAUACGUAGGUGGCAAGCGUUAUCCGGAUUGAUUGGGUGUAAAGGGCGUGUAGGCGGGAGCGUAAGUCAGAGGUGAAAACCCGGGGCUCAACCCUGAGCCUGCAUUUGAAACUGUGUGUCUUGAGUGCUGGAGAGGUAAGCGGAAUGCCGGGUGUAGCGGUGAAAUGCGUAGAUAUAAGGAGGAACACCAGUGGCGAAGGCGGAUUGCUGGACAGUAACUGACGCUGAGGCGCGAAAGCGUGGGGAGCAAACAGGAUUAGAUACCCCUGUAGUC
Molecule: ribosomal RNA, 443 nt
Filed under: uncultured bacterium
Lineage: Bacteria
Description: partial 16S ribosomal RNA
Rfam family: Bacterial small subunit ribosomal RNA
Source: RNAcentral